Molecule: unclassified non-coding RNA, 156 nt
Filed under: uncultured Diaporthales
Lineage: Eukaryota; Fungi; Ascomycota; Sordariomycetes; Diaporthales
Also listed under: 1 other name
Description: sequence contains ITS2
Source: RNAcentral
CAACCCUCAAGCAUUGCUUGGUGUUGGGGCACUGCUUCUAACGAAGCAGGCCCUGAAAUCUAGUGGCGAGCUCGCCAGGACCCCGAGCGCAGUAGUUAAACCCUCGCUCUGGAAGGCCCUGGCGGUGCCCUGCCGUUAAACCCCCAACUUCUGAAA